RNAcentral lists this ribosomal RNA (492 nucleotides) under uncultured bacterium. RNAcentral describes it as "partial 16S ribosomal RNA". It matches the Rfam family "Bacterial small subunit ribosomal RNA", at positions 29 to 507 of the family's 1533-position model. The record is from RNAcentral.
AGUGAACGCUGGCGGUAGGCCUAACACAUGCAGGUCGAACGGCAGCACAGUAAGAGCUUGCUCUUACGGGUGGCGAGUGGCGGACGGGUGAGGAAUACAUCGGAAUCUACUUUUUCGUGGGGGAUAACGUAGGGAAACUUACGCUAAUACCGCAUACGACCUACGGGUGAAAGCAGGGGAUCUUCGGACCUUGCGCGAUUGAAUGAGCCGAUGUCGGAUUAGCUAGUUGGCGGGGUAAAGGCCCACCAAGGCGACGAUCCGUAGCUGGUCUGAGAGGAUGAUCAGCCACGCUGGAACUGAGACACGGUCCAGACUCCUACGGGAGGCAGCAGUGGGGAAUAUUGGACAAUGGGCGCAAGCCUGAUCCAGCCAUACCGCGUGGGUGAAGAAGGCCUUCGGGUUGUAAAGCCCUUUUGUUGGGAAAGAAAAGCAGCAGGUUAAUACCCCGCUGUUCUGACGGUACCCAAAGAAUAAGCACCGGCUAACUUCGUG